Molecule: ribosomal RNA, 464 nt
Filed under: uncultured bacterium
Lineage: Bacteria
Description: SSU rRNA
Rfam family: Bacterial small subunit ribosomal RNA
Source: RNAcentral
AGCCUGAACGCUGGCGGCGUGGCUAAGACAUGCAAGUCGUACGGUGUAGCAAUACACAGUGGCGAACGGGAGAGUAAUGAAUCGCUAAUGUGCCCCGGACUCUGAGAUAGCCAGUCGAAAGAUUGGGUAAUACCAGAUGACAUAUCUUUAUCGCAUGAUAGAGAUCUCAAAGGUCCGCCGGUCUGGGAGCAGGCGAUUUCGUAUCAGCUAGUUGGUGAGGUAACGGCUCACCAAGGCGACGACGCGUAGCCGGACUUAGAGGUUGGCCGGCCUCAUUGGGACUGAGACACUGCCCAGACUCCUACGGGGGGCUGCAGUAACGAAUCUUCCGCAAUGCACGAAAGUGUGACGGAGCGACGCCGCGUGUAGGACGAAGUCCUUCGGGAUGUAAACUACUGUCAGGGGUUACCAAGUUCUGAGGAGCCCAGAGGAAGCACGGCUAACUCUGCGCCAGCAGCCGCGGU